GGAUGUGAUCAUACCAGUACUAUAGCACCGGAUCCCUUCAGAACUCCGAAGUUCAGCGUGCUUGGGUGAGAGUAGUACUAGGAUGGGUGACCUCCUGUUGCAUCCUUCUUUUUUGCCGCAC
Molecule: ribosomal RNA, 121 nt
Filed under: Oryza punctata
Lineage: Eukaryota; Viridiplantae; Streptophyta; Magnoliopsida; Poales; Poaceae
Source: RNAcentral